GACGAACGCUGGCGGCGUGCUUAACACAUGCAAGUCGAACGGACAGGCCCUGCUUUUGUGGGUUGCUCGAGUGGCGAACGGGUGAGUAACACGUGAGUAACCUGCCCUUGACUUUGGGAUAACUUCAGGAAACUGGGGCUCAUACCGGAUAGGAGCUCCUGCUGCAUGGUGGGGGUUGGAAAGUUUCGGCGGUUGGGGAUGGACUCGCGGCUUAUCAGCUUGUUGGUGGGGUAGUGGCUUACGAAGGCUUUGACGGGUAGCCGGCCUGAGAGGGUGACCGGCGACAUUGGGACUGAGAGACGGCCCAGACUCCUACGGGAGGCAGCAGUGGGGAAUAUUGCACAAUGGGCGGAAGCCUGAUGCAGCAACGCCGCGUGCGGGAUGACGGCCUUCGGGUUGUAAACCGCUUUCGCCGGUGACGAAGCGUGAGUGACGGUAAUGGGUAAAGAAGCACCGGCUAACUACGUG
This 468-nucleotide ribosomal RNA is filed under the name uncultured bacterium. Its description in RNAcentral is "partial 16S ribosomal RNA". It matches the Rfam family "Bacterial small subunit ribosomal RNA", at positions 28 to 507 of the family's 1533-position model. The record is from RNAcentral.